This 912-nucleotide ribosomal RNA is filed under the name Propioniciclava sp. Its description in RNAcentral is "bacterial SSU rRNA". It matches the Rfam family "Bacterial small subunit ribosomal RNA", at positions 1 to 930 of the family's 1533-position model. Lineage: Bacteria; Bacillati; Actinomycetota; Actinomycetes; Propionibacteriales; Propionibacteriaceae. The record is from RNAcentral.
AUGGAGAGUUUGAUCCUGGCUCAGGACGAACGCUGGCGGCGUGCUUAACACAUGCAAGUCGAACGGAUCAUCUUUACUUCGGUUUUGGUGGUUAGUGGCGAACGGGUGAGUAACACGUGAGCAACCUGCCCUUCACUGGGGGAUAACUGUGGGAAACUUCAGCUAAUACCGCAUGUACACCUUCUAUCGCAUGGUGGUUGGUGGAAAGUUUUUUCGGUGGGGGAUGGGCUCGCGGCCUAUCAGCUUGUUGGUGGGGUAAUGGCCUACCAAGGCUUUGACGGGUAGCCGGCCUGAGAGGGCGACCGGCCACACUGGGACUGAGAUACGGCCCAGACUCCUACGGGAGGCAGCAGUGGGGAAUAUUGCACAAUGGACGGAAGUCUGAUGCAGCAACGCCGCGUGCGGGAUGACGGCCUUCGGGUUGUAAACCGCUUUCACCAGGGGCGAAUUUGACGGUACCUGGAGAAGAAGCACCGGCUAACUACGUGCCAGCAGCCGCGGUGAUACGUAGGGUGCGAGCGUUGUCCGGAUUUAUUGGGCGUAAAGAGCUCGUAGGUGGUUUGUUGCGUCGGGAGUGAAAACACGCAGCUUAACUGUGUGCUUGCUUUCGAUACGGGCAGACUUGAGGGAUGUAGGGGAGAACGGAAUUCCUGGUGGAGCGGUGGAAUGCGCAGAUAUCAGGAGGAACACCGGUGGCGAAGGCGGUUCUCUGGACAUUUCCUGACGCUGAGGAGCGAAAGCGUGGGGAGCAAACAGGCUUAGAUACCCUGGUAGUCCACGCCGUAAACGGUGGGCACUAGGUGUGGGGGACUUCCACGUUCUCCGUGCCGUAGCUAACGCAUUAAGUGCCCCGCCUGGGGAGUACGGCCGCAAGGCUAAAACUCAAAGGAAUUGACGGGGGCCCGCACAAGC